Molecule: ribosomal RNA, 467 nt
Filed under: uncultured bacterium
Lineage: Bacteria
Description: partial 16S ribosomal RNA
Rfam family: Bacterial small subunit ribosomal RNA
Source: RNAcentral
ACGAACGCUGGCGGCGUGCUUAACACAUGCAAGUCGAACGGAAAGGCCCUGCUUUUGUGGGGUGCUCGAGUGGCGAACGGGUGAGUAACACGUGAGUAACCUGCCCUUGACUUUGGGAUAACUUCAGGAAACUGGGGCUAAUACCGGAUAGGAGCUCCUGCUCCAUGGUGGGGGUUGGAAAGUUUCGGCGGUUGGGGAUGGACUCGCGGCUUAUCAGCUUGUUGGUGGGGUAGUGGCUUACCAAGGCUUUGACGGGUAGCCGGCCUGAGAGGGUGACCGGCCACAUUGGGACUGAGAUACGGCCCAGACUCCUACGGGAGGCAGCAGUGGGGAAUAUUGCACAAUGGGCGGAAGCCUGAUGCAGCAACGCCGCGUGCGGGAUGACGGCCUUCGGGUUGUAAACCGCUUUCGCCUGUGACGAAGCGUGAGUGACGGUAAUGGGUAAAGAAGCACCGGCUAACUACGUG